CCUACGGGCCGCAGCAGUGGGGAAUAUUGCACAAUGGGCGCAAGCCUGAUGCAGCCAUGCCGCGUGUAUGAAGAAGGCCUUCGGGUUGUGAAGUACUUUCAGCGAGGAGGAAGGCGAUAAGGUUAAUAACCUUGUCGAUUGACGUUACUCGCAGAAGAAGCACCGGCUAACUCCGUGCCAGCAGCCGCGGUAAUACGGAGGGUGCAAGCGUUAAUCGGAAUUACUGGGCGUAAAGCGCACGCAGGCGGUCUGUCAAGUCGGAUGUGAAAUCCCCGGGCUCAACCUGGGAACUGCAUUCGAAACUGGCAGGCUAGAGUCUUGUAGAGGGGGGUAGAAUUCCAGGUGUAGCGGUGAAAUGCGUAGAGAUCUGGAGGAAUACCGGUGGCGAAGGCGGCCCCCUGGACAAAGACUGACGCUCAGGUGCGAAAGCGUGGGGAGCAAACAGGAUUAGAUACCCCAGUAGUC
This 465-nucleotide ribosomal RNA is filed under the name uncultured bacterium. RNAcentral's name for it is "bacterial SSU rRNA". It matches the Rfam family "Bacterial small subunit ribosomal RNA", at positions 338 to 795 of the family's 1533-position model. The record is from RNAcentral.